UUCCGUUUGGGUAACCUGCGGAGGGAUCAUUACACAAAUAUGAAGGCGGGCUGGAACCUCUCGGGGUUACAGCCUUGCUGAAUUAUUCACCCUUGUCUUUUGCGUACUUCUUGUUUCCUUGGUGGGUUCGCCCACCACUAGGACAAACAUAAACCUUUUGUAAUUGCAAUCAGCGUCAGUAACAAAUUAAUAAUUACAACUUUCAACAACGGAUCUCUUGGUUCUGGCAUCGAUGAAGAACGCAGCGAAAUGCGAUAAGUAGUGUGAAUUGCAGAAUUCAGUGAAUCAUCGAAUCUUUGAACGCACAUUGCGCCCUUUGGUAUUCCAAAGGGCAUGCCUGUUCGAGCGUCAUUUGUACCCUCAAGCUUUGCUUGGUGUUGGGCGUCUUGUCUCUAGCUUUGCUGGAGACUCGCCUUAAAGUAAUUGGCAGCCGGCCUACUGGUUUCGGAGCGCAGCACAAGUCGCACUCUCUAUCAGCAAAGGUCUAGCAUCCAUUAAGCCUUUUUUUCAACUUUGACCUCGGAUCAGUAGGAUGCCAGUGUUCUC
This 546-nucleotide ribosomal RNA is filed under the name fungal sp. Its description in RNAcentral is "eukaryotic LSU rRNA". The stretch from base 198 to 351 matches the Rfam family "5.8S ribosomal RNA". The record is from RNAcentral. Lineage: Eukaryota; Fungi.